AUGGCGACCACUCUCUCGUUAUCUUCUCCCCUCUUCCUCGCCACUCCGCCCAGAGCUAGACAUGUGGUUUCAGCUGGUCCAUCAUGGAGCACUGCAAAUCUACCAUGCAAGGGGCAUUUUGCUGGUAUGAGGAGACAGGGCCGGAAGCAACACCGAAGCACACCAAUAGUAUCUCUGUUUGGGAGAAAGACCGCGAAGAAGACCACCAGAGAAACGGUCGUCCCGGACCCAGACUAUCGGUUACCGAUCGCUAUACUUGGGAUAUCUGGUGUGUUUGCAUAUGCAGACAAUCUUCUUGCCGCUGCACCUGUAGGCCUACUGGGGCUGCUUCUCUUGUUUCAGACUACUAGAGUUAGGUUCGUCUUUGAUGAUGAUUCCCUGGAAGUGAAAGUGGGCAAUCAGCUGCAGGAGUCAGGCGAAAACGUGUUUGUUGGUGGCAAGAACCGUUGGAAGUACUCAACAUUUGUGAACUGGGAACUAUGGUGGCCGCAAUUUCCUAUCCUAGUUUACUUCAAAGAGACCCAAACAAAACCCGAAGGCCAAAUUCAUUUCUUCCCAGUGAUUUUCAACGGCCGACAACUCUAUGAUAUCAUGGUGGAGCGCGCUGGAUCAUCGGAAACAAGUGGGCCUGGUCCUUGA
This 639-nucleotide ribosomal RNA is filed under the name Triticum aestivum (bread wheat). Its description in RNAcentral is "partial small subunit ribosomal RNA". Lineage: Eukaryota; Viridiplantae; Streptophyta; Magnoliopsida; Poales; Poaceae. The record is from RNAcentral.